This 443-nucleotide ribosomal RNA is filed under the name uncultured Rhodospirillaceae bacterium. Its description in RNAcentral is "bacterial SSU rRNA". It matches the Rfam family "Bacterial small subunit ribosomal RNA", at positions 29 to 505 of the family's 1533-position model. The record is from RNAcentral. Lineage: Bacteria; Pseudomonadati; Pseudomonadota; Alphaproteobacteria; Rhodospirillales; Rhodospirillaceae.
AACGAACGCUGGCGGCAUGCCUAACACAUGCAAGUCGAACGGGAUCCAUUGCUUCGGUGAUGGUGAGAGUGGCGCACGGGUGAGUAACGCGUGGGAACCUGCCAAUGAGUACGGAAUAACGGUUGGAAACGGCCGCUAAUACCGUAUACGCCCUACGGGGGAAAGAUUUAUCGCUCAUUGAGGGUCCCGCGUCCGAUUAGCUAGUUGGUGAGGUAACGGCUCACCAAGGCGACGAUCGGUAGCUGGUCUGAGAGGAUGAUCAGCCACACUGGGACUGAGACACGGCCCAGACUCCUACGGGAGGCAGCAGUGGGGAAUAUUGGACAAUGGGGGCAACCCUGAUCCAGCAAUGCCGCGUGUGUGAAGAAGGCCUUAGGGUUGUAAAGCACUUUCACGGGUGACGAUGAUGACGGUAACCUGAGAAGAAGCCCCGGCUAACUCCG